UUGAAGGUUUGGUCUACAAAGCUUUUUUUUCUAAUCCUUAAACACCAGAUGGUGUCAUCCUGUUUGGCAUUUGCUUGUGUGCAGUUAGCAAUUAAACAUUUAAUUGUAUGUGUACCUAGCAAUGCAUCGGUUUGCAUGCCAUUAAUGACUUCAUAGUGACAUCUUUGCAUGCAAAGUGAUUUCUUGCACCGAAAUGGGCCGUGCUAUAGUGCUAAAAAUCUAACGUUUGCCCAUUAUAAUGUCAGUUUCACCUUCUUUUUUUCCAAGUUCUGCACACCAAGGGACUCUGGCCAGCCGGCCAAUGUUCAUCCGUGCUCACUACAGGAGUUCAGGUAUAUAUAAAAUCAAGACAAAAGAACCCAAGGGCACAGAUAUUUAACGAGGAUAAUUUAUAGAUAAAGCACGCACAUUACAUAGACACGAACGUAGUACGACGCACACAAUAUCAGUUCACCACUCUGCUCUGCUCGUGGAACCUACCGGCACCCAGGCCACAACACCAUGAACUGCAUGCGGAUAAUUAACUCGAUCGACCCUAAACCACACACAACGACUAGGUAGAACGACACGGAUCUGGCCGCCAAGGCCUAGCUAAGCUUCAGUACUAGUAGCAGCAAUUUAUUCUCCAGACAUGGGACUCCUCACACGGCAGACGUACGUCGACAGACACACGGGCCAGGGCGCUUCAGUUCGUUCAGUGGAUCCUGCACGCAGACGAAGAAGAGAGCUCAUGCAUGUCAAAACUGCAAGAUUUAUCCAAGGAGAGAUGGAAACAUGUAGAGUACGUAGUAUAUAUGUAUGCAUGGGCUUUGUGGAGACGUACGAGUUGCAGUCGACGCUGGGGCUGAUCUUGUAGGGGAGGGCGACGUUGCACUUGGAGGGGAGCGCGGCGGCGCGGGUGAUGUAGGGCCCGCCGGAGGCGCCGUUGGCGACGUUCUUCAGGCAGCCGCAGAUGGUGCGGCGGUCGGGGCUGUUGUUGGCCUCGGCCAGCAGGUUCUGGAUGCCGGUGCAGCAGCCCCGGGCCGGCGACCCGCCCUGCUGCACGUACUGCAGGCACGGCAUCAGCGUGCUGUACACCGUGGAGCAGGAUAUGGCGUGCACCGUCGCCGGCGGCGCCACCAGCAUCGCCGCGAGCACCAUCGCCAGCACCAGUGCCGCGCCCCUCGGAGCCGCCAUGCCGACUGGACUGAAGUGAGCUACGCCGCUAGAUUAGCUUGUGAGUGGAUGAGUGUAGUGUGAGUGCCGCUGGCUUGAGUGUGUGUGUGGGUGGAGAGAGUGAGGGCUCUAGCAGGGUUUAUAUACAGGGGAGGGGAGAGACCGAAGCUAGUAGGAUUGCUUUACUUCUGCUGGGGUGGUUGUGGGUUGAGGGUGCAUUUAGGAGGGGAGUUAAGAGCGCGGCUGGUAGAUGGUCGUGUGGUUACCGGUUAGUCUCUGCCUCUUUGGACUCGAGUGUAGGAGGGGUGUCCCGGUGAGAUUCUUGGUUUCUACUUACAUGACAUUUUUACUUUUGAAACUGUUUACUUUUAUAUACUCGUUCUGAAGCUGGAUUGGUGCUGGACUUUGUGAUUUGCAGUAUCGUUUGAGCUUGUGUAUUAAUAUUUCUGGGUAAGGUUUAAGCAGCUGCUUAUAUAACGAGCAAAAUGAACCCAUCAUGUCUGUAGGCAUGGACAGUGUAUACUCCGUAGCCAUGCACUGGACUCGUGUUCUGAAGCGAUGCUGAGUUUUUCUUUAGAACGAAGCGAUGCUGAGUUGGUUAGCCAUUUCAGCCCUGGUUAGGUUAGUGGCAAAGGAUCGCGUACAGCAGGCGUCGGUCCAGCCAGCUGGUAUGGGGUCGCCGCUGUGCGCAUGCAGGCGUCUCCGGCAGCUAGGAACAUUAUCAACCUGCACGUACGUACACCCCGUACAAUUUAACCCUGUUCACACCGUCGGUGAGUGGACAUGACAUAAGAAAAGAGGCCGAGAGUUGCAACGGAAGAAAAGUCCUAACCUAAUAUAAGACCUCAAUAGGUCUAUGUAUUUUAUUUUAGCACAUGGCAUUUCAUAUCGGAAAUCCCUUUUGGAGCUCGGCCUCCAGUGAGGCCUCCAAAUUUGAAUUUGAAUUUUCAUUGAAAUUCAUAUUUUUACAUUUUAAAAAAUUCUAAAAAAAUAUAGAUAUACAACGAGGCAUAACACACA
Molecule: long non-coding RNA, 2175 nt
Filed under: Triticum aestivum (bread wheat)
Lineage: Eukaryota; Viridiplantae; Streptophyta; Magnoliopsida; Poales; Poaceae
Description: long non-coding RNA (TAES_LNC026072)
Source: RNAcentral